This 465-nucleotide ribosomal RNA is filed under the name uncultured bacterium. RNAcentral's name for it is "partial 16S ribosomal RNA". It matches the Rfam family "Bacterial small subunit ribosomal RNA", at positions 338 to 795 of the family's 1533-position model. The record is from RNAcentral.
CCUACGGGAGGCAGCAGUAGGGAAUUUUCCACAAUGGGCGAAAGCCUGAUGGAGCAACGCCGCGUGGGUGAAGAAGGUCUUCGGAUCGUAAAACCCUGUUGUUAGAGAAGAAAGUGCGUGAGAGUAACUGUUCACGCUUCGACGGUAUCUAACCAGAAAGCCACGGCUAACUACGUUCCAGCAGCCGCGGUAAUACGUAGGUAGCAAGCGUUAUCCGGAUUUAUUGGGCGUAAAGGGAGCGCAGGCGGUCUUUUAAGUCUGAUGUGAAAGCCUUCGGCUUAACCGGAGUAGUGCAUUGGAAACUGGGAGACUUGAGUGCAGAAGAGGAGAGUGGAACUCCAGGUGUAGCGGUGAAAUGCGUAGAUAUCUGGAAGAACACCAGUGGCGAAGGCGGCUCUCUGGUCUGUAACUGACGCUGAGGUUCGAAGGCGUGGGUAGCAAACAGGAUUAGAUACCCUUGUAGUC